Molecule: transfer RNA, 73 nt
Filed under: Orbicella faveolata
Lineage: Eukaryota; Metazoa; Cnidaria; Anthozoa; Scleractinia; Merulinidae
Description: tRNA-Ser
Rfam family: tRNA
About the family: Transfer RNA (tRNA) molecules are approximately 80 nucleotides in length. Their secondary structure includes four short double-helical elements and three loops (D, anti-codon, and T loops).
Source: RNAcentral
GGUCGAGUGGCCGAGUGGUUAGGGCGCCGGGCUUGAAAUCCGGAGGUCGCGGGUUCAAGUCCCGCUCUGACGA